Molecule: ribosomal RNA, 2903 nt
Filed under: Escherichia coli
Lineage: Bacteria; Pseudomonadati; Pseudomonadota; Gammaproteobacteria; Enterobacterales; Enterobacteriaceae
Description: 23S ribosomal RNA
Rfam family: Bacterial large subunit ribosomal RNA
Source: RNAcentral
GGUUAAGCGACUAAGCGUACACGGUGGAUGCCCUGGCAGUCAGAGGCGAUGAAGGACGUGCUAAUCUGCGAUAAGCGUCGGUAAGGUGAUAUGAACCGUUAUAACCGGCGAUUUCCGAAUGGGGAAACCCAGUGUGUUUCGACACACUAUCAUUAACUGAAUCCAUAGGUUAAUGAGGCGAACCGGGGAACUGAAACAUCUAAGUACCCCGAGGAAAAGAAAUCAACCGAGAUUCCCCCAGUAGCGGCGAGCGAACGGGGAGCAGCCCAGAGCCUGAAUCAGUGUGUGUGUUAGUGGAAGCGUCUGGAAAGGCGCGCGAUACAGGGUGACAGCCCCGUACACAAAAAUGCACAUACUGUGAGCUCGAUGAGUAGGGCGGGACACGUGGUAUCCUGUCUGAAUAUGGGGGACCAUCCUCCAAGGCUAAAUACUCCUGACUGACCGAUAGUGAACCAGUACCGUGAGGGAAAGGCGAAAAGAACCCCGGCGAGGGGAGUGAAAAAGAACCUGAAACCGUGUACGUACAAGCAGUGGGAGCACAGAGCAAUCUGUGUGACUGCGUACCUUUUGUAUAAUGGGUCAGCGACUUAUAUUCUGUAGCAAGGUUAACCGAAUAGGGGAGCCGAAGGGAAACCGAGUCUUAACUGGGCGUUAAGUUGCAGGGUAUAGACCCGAAACCCGGUGAUCUAGCCAUGGGCAGGUUGAAGGUUGGGUAACACUAACUGGAGGACCGAACCGACUAAUGUUGAAAAAUUAGCGGAUGACUUGUGGCUGGGGGUGAAAGGCCAAUCAAACCGGGAGAUAGCUGGUUCUCCCCGAAAGCUAUUUAGGUAGCGCCUCGUGAAUUCAUCUCCGGGGGUAGAGCACUGUUUCGGCAAGGGGGUCAUCCCGACUUACCAACCCGAUGCAAACUGCGAAUACCGGAGAAUGUUAUCACGGGAGACACACGGCGGGUGCUAACGUCCGUCGUGAAGAGGGAAACAACCCAGACCGCCAGCUAAGGUCCCAAAGUCAUGGUUAAGUGGGAAACGAUGUGGGAAGGCCCAGACAGCCAGGAUGUUGGCUUAGAAGCAGCCAUCAUUUAAAGAAAGCGUAAUAGCUCACUGGUCGAGUCGGCCUGCGCGGAAGAUGUAACGGGGCUAAACCAUGCACCGAAGCUGCGGCAGCGACGCUUAUGCGUUGUUGGGUAGGGGAGCGUUCUGUAAGCCUGUGAAGGUGUGCUGUGAGGCAUGCUGGAGGUAUCAGAAGUGCGAAUGCUGACAUAAGUAACGAUAAAGCGGGUGAAAAGCCCGCUCGCCGGAAGACCAAGGGUUCCUGUCCAACGUUAAUCGGGGCAGGGUGAGUCGACCCCUAAGGCGAGGCCGAAAGGCGUAGUCGAUGGGAAACAGGUUAAUAUUCCUGUACUUGGUGUUACUGCGAAGGGGGACGGAGAAGGCUAUGUUGGCCGGGCGACGGUUGUCCCGGUUUAAGCGUGUAGGCUGGUUUUCCAGGCAAAUCCGGAAAAUCAAGGCUGAGGCGUGAUGACGAGGCACUACGGUGCUGAAGCAACAAAUGCCCUGCUUCCAGGAAAAGCCUCUAAGCAUCAGGUAACAUCAAAUCGUACCCCAAACCGACACAGGUGGUCAGGUAGAGAAUACCAAGGCGCUUGAGAGAACUCGGGUGAAGGAACUAGGCAAAAUGGUGCCGUAACUUCGGGAGAAGGCACGCUGAUAUGUAGGUGAAGUCCCUCGCGGAUGGAGCUGAAAUCAGUCGAAGAUACCAGCUGGCUGCAACUGUUUAUUAAAAACACAGCACUGUGCAAACACGAAAGUGGACGUAUACGGUGUGACGCCUGCCCGGUGCCGGAAGGUUAAUUGAUGGGGUCAGCGCAAGCGAAGCUCUUGAUCGAAGCCCCGGUAAACGGCGGCCGUAACUAUAACGGUCCUAAGGUAGCGAAAUUCCUUGUCGGGUAAGUUCCGACCUGCACGAAUGGCGUAAUGAUGGCCAGGCUGUCUCCACCCGAGACUCAGUGAAAUUGAACUCGCUGUGAAGAUGCAGUGUACCCGCGGCAAGACGGAAAGACCCCGUGAACCUUUACUAUAGCUUGACACUGAACAUUGAGCCUUGAUGUGUAGGAUAGGUGGGAGGCUUAGAAGUGUGGACGCCAGUCUGCAUGGAGCCGACCUUGAAAUACCACCCUUUAAUGUUUGAUGUUCUAACGUUGACCCGUAAUCCGGGUUGCGGACAGUGUCUGGUGGGUAGUUUGACUGGGGCGGUCUCCUCCUAAAGAGUAACGGAGGAGCACGAAGGUUGGCUAAUCCUGGUCGGACAUCAGGAGGUUAGUGCAAUGGCAUAAGCCAGCUUGACUGCGAGCGUGACGGCGCGAGCAGGUGCGAAAGCAGGUCAUAGUGAUCCGGUGGUUCUGAAUGGAAGGGCCAUCGCUCAACGGAUAAAAGGUACUCCGGGGAUAACAGGCUGAUACCGCCCAAGAGUUCAUAUCGACGGCGGUGUUUGGCACCUCGAUGUCGGCUCAUCACAUCCUGGGGCUGAAGUAGGUCCCAAGGGUAUGGCUGUUCGCCAUUUAAAGUGGUACGCGAGCUGGGUUUAGAACGUCGUGAGACAGUUCGGUCCCUAUCUCGCCGUGGGCGCUGGAGAACUGAGGGGGCUGCUCCUAGUACGAGAGGACCGGAGUGGACGCAUCACUGGUGUUCGGGUUGUCAUGCCAAUGGCACUGCCCGGUAGCUAAAUGCGGAAGAGAUAAGUGCUGAAAGCAUCUAAGCACGAAACUUGCCCCGAGAUGAGUUCUCCCUGACUCCUUGAGAGUCCUGAAGGAACGUUGAAGACGACGACGUUGAUAGGCCGGGUGUGUAAGCGCAGCGAUGCGUUGAGCUAACCGGUACUAAUGAACCGUGAGGCUUAACCUU